This 332-nucleotide ribosomal RNA is filed under the name uncultured bacterium. RNAcentral's name for it is "bacterial SSU rRNA". It matches the Rfam family "Bacterial small subunit ribosomal RNA", at positions 32 to 339 of the family's 1533-position model. The record is from RNAcentral.
AAUCAACGCUGGCGGCGUGCCUCAGACAUGCAAGUCGAACGCGAAAGUCCCCUUCGGGGGAUGAGUAGAGUGGCGCUCGGGUGAGUAACACGUAGGUAAUCUACCUUUGGGUGGGGAAUAACAGCCGGAAACGGCUGCUAAUACCGCAUAAUGCAGCGGCUCGACAUCGAGACAGUUGUUAAAGGCGGGGGAUUCCGAAAGGAACCUCGCGCCCAAAGAGGAGCCUGCGGCAGAUAGCUAGUUGGUAAGGUAAUGGCUUACCAAGGCUUCGAUCUGUAGCCGGCCUGAGAGGGCGGUCGGCCACACUGACACUUAAAUACGGGUCAGACUCC